This 407-nucleotide long non-coding RNA is filed under the name Monodelphis domestica (gray short-tailed opossum). Its description in RNAcentral is "lncRNA (ENSMODG00000039020.1)". Lineage: Eukaryota; Metazoa; Chordata; Mammalia; Didelphimorphia; Didelphidae. The record is from RNAcentral.
GAGGCAUUUUGCAGGACAAGCCAAGAUGCAAGAAACAAGGCUGAGGAACUGUCUGUCUGUCAAUCAAGAAGAAGGUUCCAAAUAGAAUGUUCCCAGGAGUUGGCAGUUCAGCUGGCCAGGGCAAACUGGGAAACCUCUGCUCUUUCUGGGAGUGGACUGACCAAGAAAGGAGGUGAUCAGCAGAUAGAGCCCUGAAAAUGGAAGUCAGGAAGGAAGACUCAGAUUCAAAUUCUGCCUUAGACACUUGGUACUUAGAGAGCAUACCUGCCCAAAAAGGGAGGUAGCAAAGAAGAUAGAGCCCUGGGUUCAAAUGGCUCUGGGGCUGUAUGUAUGGGUGUGUCCAUGUUAUGGUAUGUAUAUGAAUUCUAUUUGAAAGUUAAAUAGCUACAUGUGGAAGGAACAUGUUU